This 211-nucleotide unclassified non-coding RNA is filed under the name Pseudomonas antarctica. RNAcentral's name for it is "Pseudomonas sRNA P29". The record is from RNAcentral. Lineage: Bacteria; Pseudomonadati; Pseudomonadota; Gammaproteobacteria; Pseudomonadales; Pseudomonadaceae.
AAACUACAAGGGGAGCCGAAGCUCCCCCAGAAGUAGUUGCGUGCUCUAUUUUUAUUAUUGAUUUCGGGCUUCUUGUUUUUGUUGAUCGCCCUCGCCAUGAAGCUUCACCUUCAAGACACUCCCAAUCGGGAGUCAAGAGCAAACGGAUUGCUUUGGUCGCUGUGUUGCUGAUCUACGAUCCAACCAGUUCAGGCUCUGCCUUAGGGCAGUU